This 1185-nucleotide long non-coding RNA is filed under the name Homo sapiens (human). RNAcentral's name for it is "HSALNT0177101". Lineage: Eukaryota; Metazoa; Chordata; Mammalia; Primates; Hominidae. The record is from RNAcentral.
AUCCGGGCCGUGCAGUCUGCCGGAGGCCCGGCCCGACCCGCCCCCGAGCUCCCCACAUCACACACACACGACCCCCUCGCACCUCCGGGUGGCGGCAGCGACGGCGGCUCCCACGUCAGAGAGAACCUUACAAAAUGGCGACGGCCGCUCGAGCCUGGACGCGACCGGGCCCUUUCUCGCGCGCCAGCUCACGCACGCGCGAGUGCGCGCUGCUUCCCUCCCCUUCCCCUCGCGGGAGCCGAGUGACCAAUCCCGAGGCUGCAUACAAAUGACCACGCAGCACGGGGGCGGGGCCUGUUGGUGGUGGCGCGGCGCCGCGGAGGUCAGCCCACCCCCAGCCCCAGCCAGCCAGUCACCACCCUGGAAAGGGUCGCCACUGCUGCGUCAGAGGGGCUCUGAACGCAACCACUGCCUAGAAAAGCGGAGGCCUUGGGGAGUCGCUCACCACAAUGGGUCCUGCUCUUGGGCCCUUUGAGGGGGGCGGGGAGCUAAUGACAGAGGAAUCUCCCCGAGGGCCCUAAAAAGGGGCUUUUGUAGCGGGCUGGCCGGCUUCUGUGGCAGCUUGGGGCAACAUUUCAAAAAUACAGUGCCCCCAGGCUUGCCAGCUUGGAGUGCAAAUACCUAGAUUCCCUGAGCACCCCCAAGGUAUGACUGUCUCUUCAGUGGAGAUUUUACAGUUGUAUUUGAAGAAAAGAUGCUGUGUAGUGCUGAUGGAUUCUUCCACUUAGUCCCAUGACAGAUUGUUCUAGUUACGCGUAUCCACCUGUUGGCUGUGGAACAGUAAAUCUACCCAUCUUAAGGGGGAAAUUAUCCUGCAGGCUCUCUGGUCUACCGGUUUGGAGCCCACUCUGGGGCUGUGAUGUGCUAGUUCUGGGCCUGCACACACCUAACUCGGUCUUCGUCAUGACUGAUGAUAGGCCCGCAGUCAAUGACUAAAGAUGGGGCUGCCUUCCUGGAAAAACGGUUGUCUGUGUGUAUAGGAAACAAUGAAAGAACACGCUUUUCCUGUUGGAGGCCACCAAGGAGUGCCCACUUCCAUCAACAUCUGGAGACAAACACUGUGCCCUGAAAGCUCCGAUUGCCAAACCAGAGACAAAGGAGAAGCCACCCGCUCCUUUCUAAUACUUCAUCAGAUCCAGAAGGCAGUUGUCCUGACAAGAGGGCGGUCCCUGUCGACUGUCCCUG